Non-coding RNA from Herpailurus yagouaroundi (jaguarundi), 565 nucleotides. The record is from the annotation of a RefSeq genome assembly. NCBI's taxonomy places the organism in Eukaryota, Metazoa, Chordata, Mammalia, Carnivora, Felidae.
GGUGUCUCCAGCAAGGGGAUAAGUCAGGCCUGGGAGGAACCCUGCCCAGCCUCAGGACCUCAGGGAACAGAAUCGAGGCACCUCCACCAUGGCCUGGACCCCUCUCCUCCUCGGCCUCCUUGCUCACUGCACAGGCUCCGUGGCCUCCUAUGAGCUGUCUCAGCCCCCAUCAGUGGCAGUGAACCUGGGACAGACGGCCAGGAUCACGUGUGGAGGAAACAACAUUGGAAGUUAUUAUGCUUACUGGUACCAGCAGAAGUCAGGCCAGGCUCCUGUGCUGAUUAUCUAUAAGGACAGCAACCGGCCCUCAGGGAUCCCUGACCGAUUCUCAGGCACCAACUCGGGGAACACGGCCACCCUGACCAUCAGCGGGGCCCAGGCCGAGGACGAGGCUGACUAUUACUGUCAGGUGUGGGACAGUGGUGCUUUGUUCGGUGGAGGGACCCAUCUGACCGUCCUCGGUCAGCCCAAGGCGGCCCCCUCGGUCACACUCUUCCCGCCCUCCAAUGAGGAGCUCAGUGCCAACAAGGCCACCCUGGUGUGCCUCAUCAGUGACUUCUACCCC